GGCUUGUUGAUUAUUAUUUCAGGUYUGACCUGCCCACUGAUAUUAUUAAAUGGCCGCGGUAUUUUGACCGUGCAAAGGUAGCAUAAUCACUAGUUUUUUAAUUGAGAGCUUGUAUGAAAGGUUUGAUGAGAAAAUAGCUGUCUCUGGAAAAUUUUAUUAAAAUUUUAUUUUUAAGUGAAAAAGCUUAAAUAUUUAUAGAAGACGAGAAGACCCUAUAGAGUUUUAUAAGUGGAAUUAAAAUGAGGUUAUAGGAAUGUUUGAUUUUGUAUUAUUUUUACUUAUUUUGUUGGGGUGACGGGAAAAUUAAUUUAACUUUUCUUUAUGUUUAUACUAAUUUGUAAGUUUAUGAUCCUAUAGUUUAGAUUUUAAGAAUAAAUUACCUUAGGGAUAACAGCGUAAUUUUUCUUAGAGUUCUUAUCAAAAGAUUAGAUUGCGACCUCGAUGUUGGAUUAAAAUUAAUUAUUGGUGCAGUAGCUAAUAGAUUAGGUCUGUUCGACCUUUAAAAUUUUACAUGAUCUGAGUUUAAACCGGUGUGAG
Molecule: ribosomal RNA, 537 nt
Filed under: Trigonopterus dua
Lineage: Eukaryota; Metazoa; Arthropoda; Insecta; Coleoptera; Curculionidae
Description: partial large subunit ribosomal RNA
Source: RNAcentral